GGGGACCCGCAAGCGGUGGAUGAUGUGGAUUAAUUCGAUGCAACGCGAAAAACCUUACCUACCCUUGACAUGUACGGAAGCCACGAGAGAUCGAGGUGUGCUCGAAAGAGAGCCGUAACACAGGUGCUGCAUGGCUGUCGUCAGCUCGUGUCGUGAGAUGUUGGGUUAAGUCCCGCAACGAGCGCAACCCUUGUCAUUAGUUGCUACAUUCAGUUGAGCACUCUAAUGAGACUGCCGGUGACAAACCGGAGGAAGGUGGGGAUGACGUCAAGUCCUCAUGGCCCUUAUGGGUAGGGCUUCACACGUCAUACAAUGGUACAUACAGAGGGCCGCCAACCCGCGAGGGGGAGCUAAUCCCAGAAAGUGUAUCGUAGUCCGGAUCGCAGUCUGCAACUCGACUGCGUGAAGUUGGAAUCGCUAGUAAUCGCGGAUCAGCAUGUCGCGGUGAAUACGUUCCCGGGUCUUGUACACACC
This 474-nucleotide ribosomal RNA is filed under the name uncultured bacterium. RNAcentral's name for it is "bacterial SSU rRNA". It matches the Rfam family "Bacterial small subunit ribosomal RNA", at positions 915 to 1391 of the family's 1533-position model. The record is from RNAcentral.